Molecule: ribosomal RNA, 402 nt
Filed under: uncultured bacterium
Lineage: Bacteria
Description: bacterial SSU rRNA
Rfam family: Bacterial small subunit ribosomal RNA
Source: RNAcentral
UGGGGAAUAUUGCACAAUGGGGGAAACCCUGAUGCAGCGACGCCGCGUGAGCGAAGAAGUAUCUCGGUAUGUAAAGCUCUAUCAGCAGGGAAGAAAAUGACGGUACCUGACUAAGAAGCACCGGCUAAAUACGUGCCAGCAGCCGCGGUAAUACGUAUGGUGCAAGCGUUAUCCGGAUUUACUGGGUGUAAAGGGAGCGUAGACGGAGAAGCAAGUCUGGAGUGAAAACCCGGGGCUCAACCCCGGGACUGCUUUGGAAACUGUUUUUCUAGAGUGCCGGAGAGGUAAGCGGAAUUCCUAGUGUAGCGGUGAAAUGCGUAGAUAUUAGGAGGAAUACCAGUGGCGAAGGCGGCUUACUGGACGGUAACUGACGUUGAGGCUCGAAAGCGUGGGGAGCAAACA